RNAcentral lists this ribosomal RNA (465 nucleotides) under uncultured bacterium. RNAcentral's name for it is "partial 16S ribosomal RNA". It matches the Rfam family "Bacterial small subunit ribosomal RNA", at positions 338 to 795 of the family's 1533-position model. The record is from RNAcentral.
CCUACGGGAGGCAGCAGUGGGGAAUAUUGCGCAAUGGGCGAAAGCCUGACGCAGCGACGCCGCGUGAGGGAUGAAGGUCUUCGGAUCGUAAACCUCUGUCAGCAGGGAAGAACGGUCACUGUGCUAAUCAGCAGUGAAUUGACGGUACCUGCAAAGGAAGCACCGGCUAACUCCGUGCCAGCAGCCGCGGUAAUACGGAGGGUGCGAGCUUUAAUCGGAAUUACUGGGCGUAAAGCGCUCGUAGGCGGUCUUUCAAGUCAAGGGUGAAAUCCCCGCGCGCAACGUGGGAACUGCCUUUGAAACUGGCAAACUGGAGUGUGUGAGAGGAUAGUGGAAGUCCAGGUGUAGGAGUGAAAGCCGUAGAUAUCUGGAGGAACAUCAGUGGCGAAGGCGACUAUCUGGCACAUAACUGACGCUGAGGAGCGAAAGCGUGGGUAGCAAACAGGAUUAGAUACCCUAGUAGUC